RNAcentral lists this microRNA precursor (96 nucleotides) under Chinchilla lanigera (long-tailed chinchilla). Its description in RNAcentral is "microRNA 135b (ENSCLAG00000021206.1)". It matches the Rfam family "mir-135 microRNA precursor family". Rfam says of the family: The hairpin precursors (represented here) are predicted based on base pairing and cross-species conservation -- their extents are not known. Lineage: Eukaryota; Metazoa; Chordata; Mammalia; Rodentia; Chinchillidae. The record is from RNAcentral.
GCUCUGCUGUGGCCUAUGGCUUUUCAUUCCUAUGUGAUUGCUGCUCCAAAUUCAUGUAGGGCUAAAAGCCAUGGGCUACAGUGAGGGGCGAGCUCC